UACGUAGGGUGCGAGCGUUAAUCGGAAUUACUGGGCGUAAAGCGUGCGCAGGCGGUUUUGUAAGCCAGAUGUGAAAUCCCCGGGCUUAACCUGGGAAUGGCAUUUGGGACUGCAAGGCUCGAGUGCGGCAGAGGAGACUGGAAUUCCUGGUGUAGCAGUGAAAUGCGUAGAUAUCAGGAGGAACACCGAUGGCGAAGGCGGCUCUCUGGUCCAUGUCUGACGCUGAGGUGCGAAAGCCAGGGGAGCAAACGGG
RNAcentral lists this ribosomal RNA (253 nucleotides) under uncultured bacterium. RNAcentral describes it as "partial 16S ribosomal RNA". It matches the Rfam family "Bacterial small subunit ribosomal RNA", at positions 524 to 776 of the family's 1533-position model. The record is from RNAcentral.